GUAUGUUUGUAUGGUUGUAUGUCUCUGUACUCAUAUGCUUGUCUCAAAGCUUAAGCCAUGCAAGUGUAAGUUCAUGCCGUAAACGAAUGGUGAAACCGCAAAUGGCUCAGGAACCGGACCUAAUCCUCGGGACCGUAUUCUUCCACCGCGAGGAGAGUGGAUAACUGUGGCAAUUCUAGAGCUAAU
This is a long non-coding RNA of Octopus sinensis (East Asian common octopus), 186 nucleotides long. RefSeq lists it as uncharacterized. Lineage: Eukaryota; Metazoa; Mollusca; Cephalopoda; Octopoda; Octopodidae. The transcript is spliced from 4 exons. The record is from RefSeq and is a predicted model, not a curated record.